GGAAAUGGCAUUUCAGCAUAGAUCAAAGUAUCCCAGACAGAGAAAAGAGCAAGUAUAAAUGUCCUGAAGUAGGACCAGGUUGGCAUGUUAGUGGUGAGAGUUAAGUGCAGAGAUUUGGACAAGGACGUAUUCGUGUAAAGCCUUAUAGAUUGUGUUGUGUAGAAGAAAGGGGGAGUGUGGUUGCAGGAAAAUCAUUCAGAAUGUUUUAUAUCCAAUGGUGAUGUAUUCUGACAUAUGGUAUUGAAUCGGUUGAUAGCAUAGUCGAUGAAGAGAGAACUGAUGGAGGGUAUACUUUGGGUGUUAUGCUGGAGGUACUUACUGAUGGAUUGCCAAAAAAGCUCCCCAAAUUUGGAGUGAACUAAUCAAUGGCUUUGUGGCAUAUUGACAAGAAACAGCCUCUGUUCAUUUCGAUAACAUGAAGAGAAUGAAAGUGGUAUUACAUUCUCUUGGACAAAAAAAGCUAAGAAUGUUAAUUGUGAUUAGCUGAAAAACAAGUACACUAAUUACUACUUAAUAAAUACAACACAUACUCCUUGUUUAAAAUUCAGUUGGUUUAUUACAGUACACUAUUCUGUUCCCUAUGAUUUUAAAAGGCUUGCUCUACUCACAUUCAUAGCUCUCCCUUCUUAAUUCAAAUAACAAAUAUUUAUCAAUUGCCUAAUAUAACCUAUAUUUCAGGGAAAUAACAUAAAAAGCACAUAGACAUAGUCACAAAAUUUUCUGUCAAAAUAUUGAAAAGUUGACCUCGUUCUUCUGAAGUUUAACGCUAUAAGAAAUUCAAGGCAGGUAUGUUAGUUUUUCUUCUGUGGAUAGACUUUUAUUUGUUGUUGUUUGACCCACAUUAUACUUGUGUGAUUUUUUUUUUUUUUGGUGGUUUAGUACUAUGUUCAUUUUUGAUAUCCAAGUACUUUACCAAGUUUUACUAAGAUUUAUUUUCUUUUCAUUAAUAUUUCAUGGCUCCCUUUGUCUUCAACUAAAAUGUUUCUCCCAUCCAGCCUUUGAUUAUUUUGUUUUGUACUAUUUGAGUUAGUGUCAUUUUAAAGAACAGCAUUUACCCAUGGGAUGGUUUCCUCUUUCUGUUUUUGUUUGUCAGCCUACGGAUUUAUUCAUACCUUUGUCUUUUUAUUUUGCCUUCUUUCUGCACCAUUGAUUUACCAUUUUACUCUUUCUGAAACUUUAUUUUUCUCUUAAUGUAUUUUCAUUUAUUUACACUCUGCCUGUCAUCCAGUUCUCUCUUUCCCUCUAUUUCAGUGCCUCUGUUUUCAUACAUGCUACUUUUUCAAUAUUUAUGUAGAAUUUUUCAAAAUUUCUGUUUUCUGGAUAGUUUUCUUUUUAAUGAUUUUUAUUUUUUUCCAUUAUAUCUGGUUUACAGUGUUCUGUCAAUUUUCUCCUGUAUAGCAAAGGGACCCAGUCACACAUACAUGUAUACACUCUUUUUUCUCACAUUAUCAUGCUCCAUCAUAAGUGAUCAGACAUAGUUGCCAGUGCUAAACAGCAGGAUGUCAUUGCUUAUCCAUUCCAAAGGCAAUAGUCUGCAGCUAUUAACCCCAAGUCCCCAGUCCAUCCCACUCCCUCCCUCUCCCCCUUGGCAACCACAAGUCUCUUCUCCAAGUCCAUGAUUUUCUUUUCUGUGGAGACGUUCAUUUGUACCAUAUAUUAGAUUCCAGAUAUAAGUGAUAUCAUAUGGUAUUUAUCUUUGUCUUUCUGACUUACUUCACUCAAUAUGAGAGUCUCUGGUUCCAUCCAUGUUGCUGCAAAUGCAUUAUUUUGUCCCUUUUAUGGCUGAGUAGUAUUCCAUUGUGUAUAUAUACCACAUCUUCUUAGUCCAUUCAUCUGUUGAUGGACAUUUAGGUUGUUUCCAUGUCAUGGUUGUUGUGAGUAUUGGUGCAGUGAACAUAUAGAUCUAUGCUUCUUUUUCAAGGAAAGUUUUGUCCGGAUAUCUGCCCAAGAGUGGGAUUGCUGGGUCAUAUGGUGGUUCUAUGUAUAGUUUUCUAAGGUACCUCCAUACUGUUCUCCACAGUGAUUGUACCAGCUUACAUUCCCACCAACAGUGCAGGAGGGUUCCCUUUUCUCCACACCCCCUCCAGCACUUGUUAUUUUUGGACUUAUUAAUGAUGGCCAUUCAGACUGGUGUGAGGUGGUAUUUCAUGGUAGUUUUGAUCAAUAACCAGUGAUGUCGAGCAUUUUUUCAUGUGCUUGUUGGCCAUCUGUAUAUCUUCUUUGGUGAAAUGUCUAUUCAGGUCUUUUGCCCAUUUUUCCAUUGGGUUGUUGGCUUUUUUUCUGUUGAGUUGUAGAAGUUCUUUGUAUAUUUUAGAAAUUAAGCCCUUGUCAAUUGCAUCAUUUGAAACAAUUUUCUCCCAUUUUGUAAAUUUUUUUUUUUUUUUUUUUUGUGGUUUCCGUUGCUGUGCAAAAGCUUGUCAGUUUGAUUAGGUCCCAUUGGUUUAUUUUUGCUUUUAUUUCUGUUGCCUUGGGAGACUGGCCUGAGAAAACAUUUGUAAGGUUGAUGUCAGAGAAUGUUUUGCCUGUGUUCUCUUCCAGGAGUUUGAUGGUGUCUUGUCUUACGUUUAAGCCUUUAAGCCAUUUUGAGUUUAUUUUUGUACAUGGUGUAAGAGUGUGUUCCAGCUUUCACAAGCAGGGAUUACCCCGCCCAACUCCAGUUCUCCUUUUUAUUGCAUGUUAUAGGACUUUUUCCUAAAGUUGUACCUAUUUUAAAAAUGUUUUCUUAUCCUUGAGUGAUUUCUAUUUAGACGGGCAUUUUGCCCAUCAACAAAACCUUCACAUUCUUCUUAUCGUCUUUUUCUUUCUUUGGGCUUAAAAAAACACAAUCCCUUUAUAUAUUAAACAGAGAUACUAGGUGCUGUGUAGCCUUCUGGUCUUUCACAGUGACUUUUAGUAUGAGAAUUUGCUAAGCUAAGGAGGAAAUUACAGGUUCUGUCUCCUGGUCAUCUUAUCUUUCCAGAUACAAUGAAAAGGGGAAAGUUUCAAAAAUAACUUAGAGUUUCAAAUGUGCAUCAUGAAGUUCCCAUCAUGCUUCUGUGGUUAACGGCUAGUAUCCAUGAAGAUGCAGACUCCAUCUCUGACCUUGCUCCGUGGGUUAAGGAUCUGUGUUGCCGUGAGUUGUGGCGUAGGUCGCAGAUGCAGCUCUGAUCUGGCAUUGCUGUGGCUGUGGCAUAGGCCAGUAGCUAUAGCUCCAAUUUGACCCCUAGCUGGGAACUUCCAUAUGCUGUGGGUGUGGCCCUAAAAAGCAAAAAAAAAAAAAAAAAGGAAAAAAAAAA
Molecule: long non-coding RNA, 3275 nt
Filed under: Sus scrofa (pig)
Lineage: Eukaryota; Metazoa; Chordata; Mammalia; Artiodactyla; Suidae
Description: lncRNA (ENSSSCG00035000934.1, ENSSSCG00045007904.1)
Source: RNAcentral